RNAcentral lists this ribosomal RNA (2880 nucleotides) under Stenotrophomonas sp. GD03794. RNAcentral's name for it is "23S ribosomal RNA". It matches the Rfam family "Bacterial large subunit ribosomal RNA". RNAcentral also lists the same sequence under 2 other names. Lineage: Bacteria; Pseudomonadati; Pseudomonadota; Gammaproteobacteria; Lysobacterales; Lysobacteraceae. The record is from RNAcentral.
GGUCAAGCGAAUAAGCGCACACGGUGGAUGCCUUGGCGGUCAGAGGCGAUGAAGGACGUGGCAGCCUGCGAAAAGUAUCGGGGAGCUGGCAACAAGCUUUGAUCCGGUAAUGUCCGAAUGGGGAAACCCACCCGCUUGCGGGUAUCCUGCAGUGAAUACAUAGCUGCUGGAAGCGAACCUGGUGAACUGAAAUAUCUAAGUAACCAGAGGAAAAGAAAUCAACCGAGAUUCCGUAAGUAGCGACGAGCGAACGCGGACUAGCCCUUAAGCUGAUUUGGUUCUAGGAAAACGCUCUGGAAAGAGCGGCCAUAGAAGGUGAUAGCCCUGUAUCUGAAAGGGCCAUUUCAGUGAAGACGAGUAGGGCGGGGCACGUGAAACCCUGUCUGAACAUGGGGGGACCAUCCUCCAAGGCUAAAUACUACUGACCGACCGAUAGUGAACCAGUACCGUGAGGGAAAGGCGAAAAGAACCCCGGAGAGGGGAGUGAAAUAGAACCUGAAACCGUGUGCGUACAAGCAGUAGGAGCUCCGCAAGGAGUGACUGCGUACCUUUUGUAUAAUGGGUCAGCGACUUACUGUUCGUGGCAAGCUUAACCGUAUAGGGGAGGCGAAGGGAAACCGAGUCUGAUAAGGGCGCAUAGUCGCGGGCAGUAGACCCGAAACCGGGUGAUCUAGUCAUGCCCAGGGUGAAGGUGCGGUAACACGCACUGGAGGCCCGAACCCACUCCCGUUGCAAAGGUAGGGGAUGAGGUGUGAUUAGGAGUGAAAAGCUAAUCGAACCCGGAGAUAGCUGGUUCUCCUCGAAAGCUAUUUAGGUAGCGCCUCAUAUGUAUCCUCUCGGGGGUAGAGCACUGUUAUGGCUAGGGGGUCAUCGCGACUUACCAAACCAUUGCAAACUCCGAAUACCGAGACGGACUGUAUGGGAGACACACGGCGGGUGCUAACGUCCGUCGUGAAAAGGGAAACAACCCAGACCCACAGCUAAGGUCCCAAAUUCACUGCUAAGUGGAAAACCAUGUGGAAAGGCACAGACAGCCAGGAGGUUGGCUUAGAAGCAGCCACCCUUUAAAGAAAGCGUAAUAGCUCACUGGUCGAGUCGGUCUGCGGGGAAGAUUUAACGGGGCUAAGCAGUGAACCGAAGCUUGGGGUGCAUAACUUUGUUAUGCGCGGUAGAGGAGCGUUCCGUAAGCCGUUGAAGGUGGAUUGAGAAGUCUGCUGGAGGUAUCGGAAGUGCGAAUGCUGACAUGAGUAACGAUAAUGCGGGUGAAAAACCCGCACGCCGAAAGCCCAAGGUUUCCUUGCGCAACGUUAAUCGGCGCAGGGUGAGUCGGCCCCUAAGGCGAGGACGAAAGUCGUAGUCGAUGGGAAGCAGGUUAAUAUUCCUGCACCUCGCGUAAGUGCGAUGGAGGGACGGAGAAGGUUAGGUGUACCAGGCGUUGGUUGUCCUGGGGAAAGGCGGUAGGUUUGGAUCUUUGGCAAAUCCGGGAUCCUUCAAGACCGAGCACCGAGACGAGCCUUUAAGGCGAAGUCACUGAUACCACGCUUCCAGGAAAAGCUCCUAAGCUUCAGCUUACGCAGACCGUACCGUAAACCGACACAGGUGGGUAGGAUGAGAAUUCUCAGGCGCUUGAGAGAACUCGGGUGAAGGAACUAGGCAACAUGGCACCGUAACUUCGGGAGAAGGUGCACCCUUUUUGGUGGCUCGUGCGAGCUAUAGCUGAAGAGGGUCGCAGUAACCAGGCCGCUGCGACUGUUUAUCAAAAACACAGCACUCUGCAAACACGAAAGUGGACGUAUAGGGUGUGACGCCUGCCCGGUGCUGGAAGGUUAAUUGAUGGGGUCAGCCGCAAGGCGAAGCUCUUGAUCGAAGCCCCAGUAAACGGCGGCCGUAACUAUAACGGUCCUAAGGUAGCGAAAUUCCUUGUCGGGUAAGUUCCGACCUGCACGAAUGGCGUAACGACAGCGGCGCUGUCUCCACCCGAGACUCAGUGAAAUUGAAAUCGCUGUGAAGAUGCAGCGUUCCCGUGGCAAGACGGAAAGACCCCGUGAACCUUUACUAUAGCUUUACACUGAACGUUGAGUUCGUCUGUGUAGGAUAGGUGGGAGGCUAUGAAACUGUGGCGCUAGCUGCAGCGGAGCCAUCCUUGAAAUACCACCCUGUCGUGCUUGACGUUCUAACCUGGGCCCAUUAUCUGGGUCGGGGACCGUGUAUGGUGGGUAGUUUGACUGGGGCGGUCUCCUCCUAAAGAGUAACGGAGGAGCUCGAAGGUACGCUCAGCGCGGUCGGACAUCGCGCACUGUGUGCAAAGGCAUAAGCGUGCUUGACUGCAAGAUCGACGGAUCAAGCAGGUAGGAAACUAGGACUUAGUGAUCCGGUGGUUCUGUAUGGAAGGGCCAUCGCUCAACGGAUAAAAGGUACUCCGGGGAUAACAGGCUGAUACCGCCCAAGAGUUCAUAUCGACGGCGGUGUUUGGCACCUCGAUGUCGGCUCAUCACAUCCUGGGGCUGUAGUCGGUCCCAAGGGUAUGGCUGUUCGCCAUUUAAAGUGGUACGCGAGCUGGGUUCAGAACGUCGUGAGACAGUUCGGUCCCUAUCUGCCAUGGGCGUUGGAGAUUUGAGAGGGGCUGCUCCUAGUACGAGAGGACCGGAGUGGACGAACCUCUGGUGUUCCGGUUGUCACGCCAGUGGCAUUGCCGGGUAGCUAUGUUCGGAAGCGAUAACCGCUGAAAGCAUCUAAGCGGGAAGCGCGCCUCAAGAUGAGAUCUCCCGGGGCACAAGCCCCCUGAAGGAACCAUGUAGACUACGUGGUUGAUAGGUCAGGUGUGUAAGUACAGCAAUGUAUUGAGCUAACUGAUACUAAUGAUCCGAGAGGCUUGACCAU